GAUGAACGCUGGCGGCGUGCCUAAUACAUGCAAGUCGAGCGAACAGACGAGGAGCUUGCUCCUCUGACGUUAGCGGCGGACGGGUGAGUAACACGUGGAUAACCUACCUAUAAUACUGGGAUAACUUCGGGAAACCGGAGCUAAUACCGGAUAAUAUAUUGAACCGCAUGGUUCAAUAGUGAAAGACGGUUUUGCUGUCACUUAUAGAUUGAUCCGCGCCGCAUUAGCUAGUUGGUAAGGUAACGGCUUACCAAGGCAACGAUGCGUAGCCGACCUGAGAGGGGGAUCGGCCACACUGGAACUGAGAAACGGUCCAGACUCCUACGGGAGGCAGCAGUAGGGAAUCUUCCGCAAUGGGCGAAAGCUUGACGGAGCAACGCCGCGUGAGUGAUGAAGGUCUUCGGAUCGUAAAACUCUGUUAUUAGGGAAGAACAAAUGUGUAAGUAACUAUGCACGUCUUGACGGUACCUAAUCAGAAAGCCACGGCUAACUACGUG
This 497-nucleotide ribosomal RNA is filed under the name uncultured bacterium. RNAcentral describes it as "partial 16S ribosomal RNA". It matches the Rfam family "Bacterial small subunit ribosomal RNA", at positions 28 to 507 of the family's 1533-position model. The record is from RNAcentral.